UGCGUAGGCGGACUAAUAAGUCAGUGGUGAAAUCUUUCGGCUCAACCGAGGAACUGCCAUUGAUACUGUUAGUCUUGAGUUCGGUUGAGGUAGGCGGAAUGUGUAAUGUAGCGGUGAAAUGCUUAGAUAUUACACAGAACACCAAUUGCGUAGGCAGCUUACUAGACCGACACUGACGCUGAGGCACGAAAGCGUGGGGAGCGAACAGGAUUAGAUACCCUGGUAGUCC
RNAcentral lists this ribosomal RNA (229 nucleotides) under uncultured bacterium. RNAcentral's name for it is "partial 16S ribosomal RNA". It matches the Rfam family "Bacterial small subunit ribosomal RNA", at positions 568 to 796 of the family's 1533-position model. The record is from RNAcentral.